Molecule: transfer RNA, 67 nt
Filed under: Deinococcus radiopugnans
Lineage: Bacteria; Thermotogati; Deinococcota; Deinococci; Deinococcales; Deinococcaceae
Also listed under: 1 other name
Description: tRNA-Asn (GTT) (tRNA-Asn-GTT-2-1)
Rfam family: tRNA
About the family: Transfer RNA (tRNA) molecules are approximately 80 nucleotides in length. Their secondary structure includes four short double-helical elements and three loops (D, anti-codon, and T loops). Further hydrogen bonds mediate the characteristic L-shaped molecular structure. tRNAs have two regions of fundamental functional importance: the anti-codon, which is responsible for specific mRNA codon recognition, and the 3' end, to which the tRNAs corresponding amino acid is attached (by aminoacyl-tRNA synthetases). tRNAs cope with the degeneracy of the genetic code in two manners: having more than one tRNA (with a specific anti-codon) for a particular amino acid; and 'wobble' base-pairing, i.e. permitting non-standard base-pairing at the 3rd anti-codon position.
Source: RNAcentral
GGCUCAGUGGCAGAGCGUUCGACUGUUAAUCGAAUGGUCGUAGGUUUGACCCCUAACUGCCGAGCCA